RNAcentral lists this ribosomal RNA (1114 nucleotides) under Corynebacterium stationis. RNAcentral describes it as "bacterial SSU rRNA". It matches the Rfam family "Bacterial small subunit ribosomal RNA", at positions 33 to 1166 of the family's 1533-position model. The record is from RNAcentral. Lineage: Bacteria; Bacillati; Actinomycetota; Actinomycetes; Mycobacteriales; Corynebacteriaceae.
GUGCUGGGGAGCUGCUUACACAUGCAGUCGAGCGGAAGGCCUUGAUGCUUGCACAAGGUACUCGAGUGGCGAACGGGUGAGUAACACGUGGGUGAUCUGCCCUGCACUGUGGGAUAAGCCUGGGAAACUGGGUCUAAUACCAUAUAGGACCGCAUCUUGGAUGGUGUGGUGGAAAGCUUUUGCGGUGUGGGAUGAGCCUGCGGCCUAUCAGCUUGUUGGUGGGGUAAUGGCCUACCAAGGCGGCGACGGGUAUCCGGCCUGAGAGGGUGUACGGACACAUUGGGACUGAGAUACGGCCCAGACUCCUACGGGAGGCAGCAGUGGGGAAUAUUGCACAAUGGGCGCAAGCCUGAUGCAGCGACGCCGCGUGGGGGAUGAAGGCCUUCGGGUUGUAAACUCCUUUCGCUAUCGACGAAGCCACUUUUGGUGACGGGAGGUUGAUUAUAAGUUGCCGGUAACUAACUUGCAACAGCCGCGGUAAUACGUAAGGUGCCAGCCUUUGCCGGAAUUACUGGGCGUAAAGAACUCGUAAGUUGUUUGUCCCGUCCUCUGUUAAAUUCCGGGGCUUAACUUCCGGCAUGCCAGCCAUUCCGGCCUUACUUUAAUGCUGGAAGGGAAAAUGGAAUUCCUGGUGUAACGGUGAAAUUGCCCCAUUCAAGAGGAACACCGAUUGCAAAAGGAGGUCUCCGGGGAGUUACUGGACCUUAUGAACGAAAGCAUUGGUUGCGGACCGGAUUAAAUACCCUGGUAAUCCAUGACCUAAACCGGGGCCCUAAGUGUAAGGGGCCUCCUCGUCUUCUGUGGCGGAACUAACGCAUUUAGCGCCCCGCCUGGGGAGUACAGCCUCUAGGCUAAACUCUAAGGAAUUGACGGUGACCCCCCAAGCGGCGGAGCAUGUUGAUUAAUUCAAUGCACCCCAAGAAACCUUACAUGGGUUGACUAUUCUUGAUCGGGCUAGGAAAAGGCUUUCCCUUGGGGCAGGAUACCUGAGGCGAUUGUUGUCUUCAGUCCGUGCCCUUGAAUGUUGGAUUAAUUCCCCUACCAAGGUGUCCUUUGCCUUUUGUUGCCAGCCCAUUUGAUUGGAAAACCCUGAAAAACCUCCGUGGUAUACUGA